Molecule: ribosomal RNA, 448 nt
Filed under: uncultured bacterium
Lineage: Bacteria
Description: bacterial SSU rRNA
Rfam family: Bacterial small subunit ribosomal RNA
Source: RNAcentral
AACGAACGCUGGCGGCAGGCCUAACACAUGCAAGUCGAACGCACCGCAAGGUGAGUGGCGCACGGGUGAGUAACACGUGGGAAUGUACCCUUUGGUUCGGAAUAACGUUUGGAAACGAACGCUAAUACCGGAUGAGCCCUGUGGGGGAAAGAUUUAUCGCCAAAGGAGCAGCCCGCGUCUGAUUAGCUAGUUGGUGGGGUAAAGGCCUACCAAGGCGACGAUCAGUAGCUGGUCUGAGAGGAUGAUCAGCCACACUGGGACUGAGACACGGCCCAGACUCCUACGGGAGGCAGCAGUGGGGAAUAUUGGACAAUGGGCGCAAGCCUGAUCCAGCCAUGCCGCGUGAGUGAUGAAGGCCUUAGGGUUGUAAAGCUCUUUCGGCGGGGAAGAUAAUGACGGUACCCGCAGAAGAAGCCUCGGCUAACUCCGUGCCAGCAGCCGCGGUAAU